UCCCUGGUGGUCUAGUGGUUAAGACUCCAUGCUUCUACUGCAAAGGGCACAGGUUCAAUGCCUGAUUAGGGAA
RNAcentral lists this transfer RNA (73 nucleotides) under Ovis aries (sheep). It matches the Rfam family "tRNA". Rfam says of the family: Transfer RNA (tRNA) molecules are approximately 80 nucleotides in length. Their secondary structure includes four short double-helical elements and three loops (D, anti-codon, and T loops). Lineage: Eukaryota; Metazoa; Chordata; Mammalia; Artiodactyla; Bovidae. The record is from Rfam by way of RNAcentral.